Molecule: RNA transcript, 6672 nt
Organism: Homo sapiens (human)
Lineage: Eukaryota; Metazoa; Chordata; Mammalia; Primates; Hominidae
Gene: FNBP4
Gene name: formin binding protein 4
Exons: 12
Source: RefSeq, marked reviewed
AGUGCCCGCCCCUCUCGGCCGCCCGACGCUCUCUGCUCGCGCUUGGGCUCGCGAUGGGGAAGAAGUCCCGGGCGGUACCCGGCCGUAGGCCCAUCCUGCAACUCUCUCCGCCGGGUCCUCGGGGCAGCACGCCGGGCCGGGACCCGGAGCCGGAACCCGACACUGAGCCGGACUCAACCGCGGCGGUCCCCAGCCAGCCCGCCCCGUCGGCGGCGACGACCACCACCACCGCGGUGACUGCCGCCGCGGCCUCGGACGACUCGCCUUCAGAAGGCAAGGAUGAACAGGAAGCGGUGCAGGAGGUUCCUAGAGUUGUUCAGAAUCCUCCAAAACCAGUCAUGACCACUAGACCCACAGCUGUUAAAGCAACAGGCGGUCUAUGCUUGCUUGGUGCUUAUGCUGACAGUGAUGACGAUGACAAUGAUGUUUCCGAAAAACUAGCACAAUCCAAAGAGACAAAUGGAAACCAGUCAACUGAUAUUGAUAGUACAUUGGCCAACUUCCUAGCGGAGAUCGAUGCCAUAACAGCUCCUCAGCCUGCAGCUCCUGUAGGAGCUUCUGCUCCACCUCCAACUCCACCUCGACCAGAGCCAAAGGAAGCAGCAACAUCUACCCUUUCUUCUUCUACUUCAAAUGGAACAGACUCCACCCAAACAUCUGGUUGGCAAUAUGAUACUCAGUGUUCACUGGCAGGAGUCGGAAUUGAGAUGGGCGAUUGGCAGGAAGUCUGGGAUGAGAACACGGGAUGUUAUUAUUAUUGGAAUACACAAACAAAUGAAGUGACUUGGGAGUUACCCCAAUAUCUUGCCACACAGGUACAGGGAUUACAGCAUUACCAGCCCAGUUCUGUGCCAGGUGCUGAAACUAGUUUUGUGGUAAAUACAGACAUAUAUUCUAAGGAGAAAACGAUUUCUGUUUCCAGUAGUAAAAGUGGACCAGUCAUAGCCAAGCGAGAAGUUAAAAAGGAAGUAAAUGAAGGAAUUCAGGCUCUCUCAAAUAGUGAGGAGGAGAAGAAAGGGGUGGCAGCAUCGCUGCUUGCUCCUUUAUUGCCUGAGGGAAUAAAAGAAGAAGAAGAGAGAUGGAGAAGAAAAGUAAUUUGUAAAGAGGAGCCAGUUUCAGAAGUAAAAGAAACAAGUACAACAGUAGAAGAAGCAACAACAAUAGUAAAGCCACAGGAAAUUAUGUUGGACAAUAUAGAAGACCCUUCUCAGGAGGAUCUUUGCAGUGUUGUCCAAUCUGGAGAAAGUGAGGAGGAAGAGGAACAAGAUACCCUUGAACUGGAGCUAGUUUUGGAAAGGAAAAAAGCAGAGUUGCGAGCCUUGGAGGAAGGAGAUGGUAGUGUGUCAGGGUCUAGUCCACGUUCUGAUAUCAGCCAGCCAGCAUCUCAAGAUGGAAUGCGUAGGCUUAUGUCUAAAAGAGGAAAAUGGAAGAUGUUUGUUCGAGCUACCAGUCCAGAAUCUACCAGUAGGAGUUCUAGUAAAACUGGACGAGAUACUCCAGAAAAUGGAGAAACUGCAAUUGGUGCUGAAAAUUCAGAAAAAAUAGAUGAGAAUUCAGAUAAAGAGAUGGAAGUAGAAGAAUCUCCAGAGAAAAUAAAAGUACAGACAACACCAAAAGUAGAAGAAGAACAGGAUUUGAAAUUUCAGAUUGGAGAACUGGCAAAUACCCUGACAAGUAAAUUCGAGUUUCUAGGCAUUAAUAGACAAUCCAUCUCCAACUUUCAUGUGCUGCUCUUACAGACUGAGACUCGAAUUGCAGACUGGCGGGAAGGGGCUCUUAAUGGAAACUACCUUAAACGAAAACUUCAGGAUGCAGCAGAACAACUAAAACAGUAUGAAAUAAACGCCACUCCUAAAGGCUGGUCCUGCCACUGGGACAGGUACGCACUCUUCUCCCCUUUUCACCUUUCACCUUUGACAUCUCAGACAUGAUUUGUGAUCACCACCAUCUGACGACAUGACAGCCUGUCUGGAGACUGAGAGCAGCUGCAGUUAGCGGUGCUGGGCAGGCAAAGCACCGCAAGCACAAAGUUUGGCCAGCCACACAUUGGAGAAACAAAAGCAAUGUUUAAAGUGUUCCAUGUAACGGAUUUUUUCCCAAGAUAUGGACAAAGCUGGUUUUUACUCUCCAGAGUGUUGCACGGAGUAGGGCGGGCUUGGGGGUUAAGCGCAUGCGAGAGCUCUGUGCGCUUUACAGGACCUCUGGAAGCAACUACUCCUGAUUAACCUCGGUGAAGUUAAGGAAAACUUCGUGGCUGAAGAUGUGAAUGAAGAACAAGAUUACUAUCCUCUGCCAGCAGCUCCCAGAUCCUCUCCCUCUCUUUAGCUUUCACUGUGUUUGAUAUCAAGAAUAUGAAAUGUGAAUUCCACGGUCCAAGAGGGGAAGAGUCACCUUUCACAAACUUCGUUGUUCUCUUCUUUGGAAGGGAAAUUAGUGUUCUAGGCGAUUGAGUCCCUUCAUUAAUGAAACUUGAAACCCUGUUAUGCAUUGGCAAAUCACAAAAAAAGAGAAAAGUGUUUUCUAAGUCUCAUCUGUUGGAGUGAGAGGGUUCAGGGCUGUAUUCACAGAGUUGCUGGCAGUGCAAAUAGCUUUGAAUUAUCCUUGGUUCUCCAUUCUCAAUUGUCAAAGCUCUUUGUUGCCUUUGUGAAUAGCAGUCCAUUAAGAGGUUCGUCCCUGUGAAAGCAGACUGCUGUCCUGGGACAGGACCAAAUGGAAGUGUCUUUGUAGGAGAACGGGUUUUAAAACAUGUGUUUUCUUUCUUGUAAUUUAGGGAUCAUAGACGGUAUUUCUAUGUAAACGAACAGUCGGGCGAGUCUCAGUGGGAGUUUCCAGAUGGUGAAGAGGAAGAAGAAGAAAGCCAAGCACAAGAAAAUAGAGAUGAGACUCUUGCCAAACAGACCUUGAAAGACAAAACUGGCACUGAUUCAAAUUCAACAGAAUCCUCUGAAACUUCCACAGGUGAGACAAUUUACCUUGUACUAAUUCAGCCAAAAUGACUUUAGAGGAAAAAUCUUAUUAAUUUACAUUAUUAAAAGAUUUUAUGUCAUAAUAAUAUAAGCUUCUGAUUGAGAAUAGUGGUGUGAACUAAAACAAGGAAUGCAUGAGUUAUUAUGGUUGGAAAUCAGCAUACUAUUGUUAUCACGUGUAAAACUGUGCCCCAAAGUGAAAAGAUAGGCUAACAGAUUUUGAUUUUAAAAAAUUGUUUUAUAACCAUUCUAUCAUGCCACUGACUAAGCUGUGGGUCUCCAAAAAUAGGAAUGCUUGUGCUGAGGAACUAGAUAGUUGAACUGUCAAUAUAUGUGGCAUGCUGAGAUUUGUUAUACAUUUCUAUACAACACUUAGUCUGUUCAUAUUGCAACCUCAUUUCUCACCUCCACUAAUCUUACAAAAAGCGUGGUUGGUACAAAUCAAAAUGAUAUGAAGAAAUGCCAUUAGUACUUGUUUCAGAGAAGCAAAAUAAUUGAUCAUGAAAAAUCACCAGCAAUCUUCUGGUCUAAAACAAUUGGCAAUAGGAUGUCUCAUUCCAUUUUUAAGGUACUCUUGGAAGAAUUUAGUUUAGUUACAUACAUUUUUUAAAAGAUAGGCUUUCAUGCUCCUCAGUUCCUUUAGUUUUUAAAAAGUUUCCAAUGUGUAAAGAAACUUCCACCUGUUAAUCUUAAGAAUUGGUAGCUAUUUGUUAAACUGAUGGCAUAUGAAGGCAAGAGUCUAUGAGUCGUUUCUAAAGUAAUAGAUCUUUGAAAAUUUUAAAAAGUGAAAUUUGUCAAUAACAGAGUUAAGAGCUGAAUUCUUUUGUCUAAAACUUAUCGAAAUUGAUGCUUGUACUCUACUGGCUCCCUGAUGAUAGUAGAAAAGCACUAGUAAUGUACCAAAUGAAACUGGUUGUGUACCAGAUGAUUUUGUUAACUUCUUAAAUAGCCUAGAAAUCGUCAGCAGGUCACAUACAACUGCAGUGAUAAUUUCAGAACAUAGCAAAAGGCUGAUUUUAUUCUACUUCACAUUUUAGAAGUGCAUUUUCUCAAGUUACAGGGCAUUUCACUUCCCUUUUACAUGAAGAGAUUUUCUUUUGAAUAUUUUUCCUCUCUUUUGGUAGCAGUGAUAGACAUGACUAAUAAUAUAUUGGUUCUUUUUGUUUGCUUUUUAGCAGUUAAUGAACUGAAGAGGCUUGAUCGUAGUUCUGGAUAGGUGGCUCCACUCCUGACCACUGUCAACAUCCCUUAUAUGUUCCAAAGUUGAAAAUUCCACUGUUACCAAUUCUGAAUGUUCUGUGAACACUUUAGAUGAGUAUUAAGCUGUUUUCUCCCUUUAUGACACACAUAGUUGAUACUGUCUGGUAAAAGGAGGCUCUUGAGCCAUUCCUAUUUAAUUAAAACAGAACUAGUUGUAGUGUAGGAAAAAGCCACUGAUAAAACAGGUUAUAUUCUUAAGCCUCUCUUUAUUGAGAACCCCUAGAAUUGCAGGAUAAACUUGAUCGAAGUAAAAUCCAAAUCUUAAACUAAGUUCUGUGAGAUUUAAGAGCAAUAAUCAACAGUUCUAAGCCUAAUAAAGAGAGCUCUUAAUCAGCUCAGUGGUGGUUAAAACCAGCUAUCUUUUAAAGAAGAGAAAAAACAAAACACAGCAAUGCCCUGUCUCUUCAGAAAAUUGUUUUAAAAAGUUAGCCAGGCAUAGUUAGUGGCCCACGCCUGUAGUCCGAGCUGUUUGGGAGGUUGAGGUGGGAAGAUUGGUUGAGCCCAAGAUUUUGAGGCUGCAGUAAGCCAUAAUUGUACCACUGCACUCCAGCCUGAGCGACAGAGAACAAGACCCUGUCUCAAAAAUAAAGUGGGGGAAGGGGUGCAAAAUUACACUGUGAGAAGCCAAGAAGUUUCAAAGUUCUAUUUAUUUUUCUAAGUCAUUUUUAAUCAUUAUUUGUUGUUUCAGUGUUUGAAUUUAACAUUAUGUUUUUAAAGAUGGAGUGGAUUCUAAAGAUGAGUUGGGUUCAAGAUAUCCAACAUAUCUUUUAUAUUGGGCUUAUGUCACUUAGGUGAAGUUGAGCUCCUUUUUCUUUUUAAUCUCCAUGGAACAAUUUGUAUAAUUUCUUGAUUUAAAUUGCUAAACUGAGCUCUUCAUUCAAAAUACUAAACAAUAAUUUCUCUUUGGGGGGAAAAUUAAGGAAGGCUUUCUAUACAUAGAAAUAAAGAUGCCUAGGCCGGGUGCAGUGGCUCAUGCCUGUAAUCCCAAUACUUUGGGGGGCUGAGGCGGGUGGAUCACCUGAGGUCAAGAGUUCAAGACCAGCCUGGGCAACAUGGUGAAACCCUGCCUCUACUAAAAGUACAAAAAUUAGCUGGGCGUGGUGGCAGCUGCCUGUAAUCCCAGCUACUCGGAGGCUGAGGCACGAGAAUCACUUGAACCUGGGAGGCGAAGGUUGCAGUGAACCAAGAUCAUGCCAUUGCACUCCAGCCUGGGCGACAGAGCAAAACUCUUUAUCUAAAAAAAAAAAAAAAAAAAAAGACGCCUACAGAAGCAAGGUUCUUAGGUGCAGUGACUCAUGCCUGUAAUUCCAGCACUUUGGGAGUUUGAGGCAAGAGGAUCACUUGAGCUCAGGAAUUCAAAACCAGCCUGGGCAAUAUGGCAAGACCCCAUCUUUGCAGAAUAUUAGCCUAGCUUGGUAGCACGAGUAUGUGGUCCUAGCUACUUGGAAGGCUGAGGUGGGAAGGAUCACUUGAGCCUGGUAGGUUGAAGCUGCAGUGAGCUAUAUUCACACCAUUGCACUCUAGCUUGAACAACAAAGUGAGAUCCUGUCUCAAAAAGAAAAAGGAAAAAUUACAGCUCACGGCUGUAAUCCCAGCACUUUGGGAGGCCAAGGCGCGCAGAUCACUUGAGGUCAGGAGUUUGAGACCAGCCAACAUGGUAUCACCCUGUCUCUACUAAAAAUACAAAAAUUAGCCAGGUGUCGUGGCGGGUGCCUGUAAUCCCAGCUACUCGGGAGGCUGAGGCAGGAGAAUCGCUUGAACCCAGGAGGCAGAGAUUACAGUGAACCAAGAUGACACCUCUGCACUCCAGCCUGGGCAACAGGCUUAAAGACUCCGUCUUAAAAAAAAAUUAAGAAUUUGUAUUCUCAUAACAUAUUCAGUUUUAAGCUUGUAGCUUUUAAAUCUUUGAGCACGUAAUAAAAGCUGCGUAGGCCAAGUGUGGUGGCUCAUGCUUGUAAUCCCAGCACUUUGGGAGGCUGAGGCAGGAGGAUCACCUGAGGUCGGGAGUUCAAGAGCAGCUUACCCAAUAUGUAGAAACCCCGCCUCUACUAAAAAUACAAAAUUAGCCAGGCGUGGUCGCAUGCCUGUAAUCCUAGCUACUCGGGAGGCUGAGGCAGGAGAAUCAUUGAACCCAGGAGGCGGAGGUUGUGGUGGGCCAAUAUCACACCAUUGCACUCCAACCUGGGCAACAAGAGCAAGAGUCCAUCUAAAAAAAGAGCUGUAUAUACCACUUUAAUCUGUCCUUGGGCUUCAGACUUAAAUAUUCUCUUAAACAGCAAAAAUACUAACUAAGUUAAAUUUAAAAGCAAGGAGAAGCAUCAUUGUAAUACGACAUCCAUGUGUAUUCAAACUAGAAUUUUCUGAUGGUCUUCGUAAGAUAAAGGAGAUAAUUGUCAUUUCUAUGACACAGCUUUUAUAAUUUGAAUAAACUUAGUUGGAGAUUGGA